AGAGUUUGAUCAUGGCUCAGAAGAAAAACGGGGGCAGGGUUCACCACAUGCGAGCCCAGCGAGACCUUCCGGCCUACCGGUGGACGGGUGAGUAAUGCGUGGGAACAUGCCCUUCUCUACGGAAUAACCCCGGGAAACUGGGAGUAAUACCGUAUACGCCCUUUGGGGGAAAGAUUUAUCGGAGAAGGAUCGGCCCGCGUUGGAUUAGGUAGUUGGUGGGGUAAUGGCCCACCAAGCCGACCAUCCAUAGCUGGUUUGAGAGGAUGAUCAGCCACACUGGGACUGAAACACGGCCCAAACUCCUACGGGAGGCAGCAGUGGGGAAUCUUAGACAAUGGGGGCAACCCUGAUCUAGCCAUGCCGCGUGAGUGAUGAAGGCCUUAGGGUUGUAAAGCUCUUUCAGCUGGGAAGAUAAUGACGGUACCAACAGAAGAAGCCCCGGCUAACUCCGUGCCAGCACCCGCGGUAAUACGGAGGGGGCUAGCGUUGUUCAGAAUUACUGGGCGUAAAGCGCACGUAGGCGGACUGGAAAGUCAGAGGUGAAAUCCCAGGGCUCAACCUUGGAACUGCCUUUGAAACUAUCACUCUGGAGUUCGAGAGAGGUGAGUGGAAUUCUGAGUGUAGAGGUGAAAUUCGUAGAUAUUCAGGAGAAACACCAGUGGGCGAAGGCGGCUCACUGGCUCGAUACUGAACUCUGAGGUGCGAAAGGCGUGGCGGAGCAGACAUGAUUAGAAUACCCUGGUUAGUCCACGCCGUAAACGAUGAAUGCAGACGUCAGCAAGCCAUGGCUGUCCGUAGUCAACAACCUAACCGGUAUUAAAGCCAUUUCCUGCUAGCAGACGGUCGCAAGAUUAAAACUCAAAGGAAUUGACGG
RNAcentral lists this ribosomal RNA (874 nucleotides) under uncultured bacterium. RNAcentral describes it as "bacterial SSU rRNA". It matches the Rfam family "Bacterial small subunit ribosomal RNA", at positions 8 to 916 of the family's 1533-position model. The record is from RNAcentral.